CCCGCCGGCGACCGGCGCACGGGUGAGUAACACGUAUGCAACCUGGCCGUCACAGGUGGAUAACCGGAAGAAAUUCCGACUAAUACAGCAUAACACUCCUGAGGGACAUCCCUUGGGAGUCAAAGGAGGCAACUCCGGUGACGGAUGGGCAUGCGGCGCAUUAGGUAGUUGGUAGGGUAACGGCCUACCAAGCCGACGAUGCGUAGGGGUUCUGAGAGGAAGGUCCCCCACAUUGGAACUGAGACACGGUCCAAACUCCUACGGAAGGCAGCAG
This 274-nucleotide ribosomal RNA is filed under the name uncultured bacterium. Its description in RNAcentral is "partial 16S ribosomal RNA". It matches the Rfam family "Bacterial small subunit ribosomal RNA", at positions 84 to 354 of the family's 1533-position model. The record is from RNAcentral.